This 207-nucleotide long non-coding RNA is filed under the name Capsicum annuum. Its description in RNAcentral is "long non-coding RNA (CANN_LNC015686)". The record is from RNAcentral. Lineage: Eukaryota; Viridiplantae; Streptophyta; Magnoliopsida; Solanales; Solanaceae.
UCUUCUAGUUUUUGGUAUGAUGAAUUUAUUUAUGAUGUUUUUCAUUUUAUUCAUGAGUAGCUAAGUUUAUUAGUUAAGGUUAUGGAAGCCUUGUAGAAUACAAUCUAUCACUUUGGGUUUUGAAUUUACUAUGCAUUGACUUGUUUAUAUCAUACUCUCUUUGCUUAUCUUGAAUUCUCGUGGUUGCAAACAUAGAGGAUAUGCCUU